RNAcentral lists this small nuclear RNA (144 nucleotides) under Nomascus leucogenys (northern white-cheeked gibbon). Its description in RNAcentral is "U2 spliceosomal RNA". It matches the Rfam family "U2 spliceosomal RNA". From Rfam's summary of the family: U2 is a small nuclear RNA (snRNA) component of the spliceosome (involved in pre-mRNA splicing). Complementary binding between U2 snRNA (in an area lying towards the 5' end but 3' to hairpin I) and the branchpoint sequence (BPS) of the intron results the bulging out of an unpaired adenosine, on the BPS, which initiates a nucleophilic attack at the intronic 5' splice site, thus starting the first of two transesterification reactions that mediate splicing. Lineage: Eukaryota; Metazoa; Chordata; Mammalia; Primates; Hylobatidae. The record is from Rfam by way of RNAcentral.
ACCCCUACAUUAUCCGGGAACGCGUUAUCCGAUGAACGCCGUAUUAAAUGGGUUUUUGGAAAUAGGAGAUGGAAUAGGAGCUUGCUCCGUCCACUCCACGCAUCGACCUGGUAUUGCAGUACUUCUAAGGACGGUGCACACUCU